RNAcentral lists this ribosomal RNA (1728 nucleotides) under Klebsiella sp. BIGb0138. Its description in RNAcentral is "Raoultella sp. BIGb0138 partial 23S ribosomal RNA". It matches the Rfam family "Bacterial large subunit ribosomal RNA", at positions 1223 to 2925 of the family's 2925-position model. The record is from RNAcentral. Lineage: Bacteria; Pseudomonadati; Pseudomonadota; Gammaproteobacteria; Enterobacterales; Enterobacteriaceae.
GUUGGGUAGGGGAGCGUUCUGUAAGCCGUUGAAGGUGGCCUGUGAGGGCUGCUGGAGGUAUCAGAAGUGCGAAUGCUGACAUAAGUAACGAUAAAGCGGGUGAAAAGCCCGCUCGCCGGAAGACCAAGGGUUCCUGUCCAACGUUAAUCGGGGCAGGGUGAGUCGACCCCUAAGGCGAGGCCGAAAGGCGUAGUCGAUGGGAAACAGGUUAAUAUUCCUGUACUCGGUGUUACUGCGAAGGGGGGACGGAGAAGGCUAUGUUAGCCGGGCGACGGUUGUCCCGGUUUAAGCAUGUAGGCGGAAUGAUUAGGUAAAUCCGGUCGUUUAUUCAACGCUGAGGUGUGAUGACGAGGCACUACGGUGCUGAAGUAACAAAUGCCCUGCUUCCAGGAAAAGCCUCUAAGCAUCAGGUAACAACGAAUCGUACCCCAAACCGACACAGGUGGUCAGGUAGAGAAUACCAAGGCGCUUGAGAGAACUCGGGUGAAGGAACUAGGCAAAAUGGUGCCGUAACUUCGGGAGAAGGCACGCUGAUGGUAGGUGAAGUGACUUGCUCAUGGAGCUGAAAUCAGUCGAAGAUACCAGCUGGCUGCAACUGUUUAUUAAAAACACAGCACUGUGCAAACACGAAAGUGGACGUAUACGGUGUGACGCCUGCCCGGUGCCGGAAGGUUAAUUGAUGGGGUUAUCCGUAAGGAGAAGCUCUUGAUCGAAGCCCCGGUAAACGGCGGCCGUAACUAUAACGGUCCUAAGGUAGCGAAAUUCCUUGUCGGGUAAGUUCCGACCUGCACGAAUGGCGUAAUGAUGGCCAGGCUGUCUCCACCCGAGACUCAGUGAAAUUGAACUCGCUGUGAAGAUGCAGUGUACCCGCGGCAAGACGGAAAGACCCCGUGAACCUUUACUAUAGCUUGACACUGAACAUUGAGCCUUGAUGUGUAGGAUAGGUGGGAGGCUUUGAAGUGUGGACGCCAGUCUGCAUGGAGCCAACCUUGAAAUACCACCCUUUAAUGUUUGAUGUUCUAACGUAGACCCGUUAUCCGGGUUGCGGACAGUGUCUGGUGGGUAGUUUGACUGGGGCGGUCUCCUCCCAAAGAGUAACGGAGGAGCACGAAGGUUAGCUAAUCCUGGUCGGACAUCAGGAGGUUAGUGCAAUGGCAUAAGCUAGCUUGACUGCGAGCGUGACGGCGCGAGCAGGUGCGAAAGCAGGUCAUAGUGAUCCGGUGGUUCUGAAUGGAAGGGCCAUCGCUCAACGGAUAAAAGGUACUCCGGGGAUAACAGGCUGAUACCGCCCAAGAGUUCAUAUCGACGGCGGUGUUUGGCACCUCGAUGUCGGCUCAUCACAUCCUGGGGCUGAAGUAGGUCCCAAGGGUAUGGCUGUUCGCCAUUUAAAGUGGUACGCGAGCUGGGUUUAGAACGUCGUGAGACAGUUCGGUCCCUAUCUGCCGUGGGCGCUGGAGAAUUGAGGGGGGCUGCUCCUAGUACGAGAGGACCGGAGUGGACGCAUCACUGGUGUUCGGGUUGUCAUGCCAAUGGCAUUGCCCGGUAGCUAAAUGCGGAAGAGAUAAGUGCUGAAAGCAUCUAAGCACGAAACUUGCCCCGAGAUGAGUUCUCCCUGACCCUUUAAGGGUCCUGAAGGAACGUUGAAGACGACGACGUUGAUAGGUCGGGUGUGUAAGCGUAGCGAUACGUUGAGCUAACCGAUACUAAUGAACCGUGAGGCUUAACCUU